GUUGUAUGGUUAAGUGACUAAGCGUACACGGUGGAUGCCUUGGCAGUCAGAGGCGAUGAAGGACGUAUUAACUUGCGAUAAGCCCAGAUUAGGCAGUAAAAGCCACUUGAGUCUGGGAUUUCCGAAUGGGGAAACCCACUAGCAUAAGCUAGUAUCAUUAACUGAAUACAUAGGUUAAUGAAGCGAACCGGGGGAACUGAAACAUCUAAGUACCCCGAGGAAGAGAAAUCAACCGAGAUUCCGGUAGUAGCGGCGAGCGAAACCGGAUUAGCCCUUAAGCUAGUUCUGCGUUAGGUGAAGGUUCUGGAAAGU
This 312-nucleotide ribosomal RNA is filed under the name Photobacterium kishitanii. Its description in RNAcentral is "bacterial LSU rRNA". It matches the Rfam family "Bacterial large subunit ribosomal RNA", at positions 1 to 315 of the family's 2925-position model. The record is from RNAcentral. Lineage: Bacteria; Pseudomonadati; Pseudomonadota; Gammaproteobacteria; Vibrionales; Vibrionaceae.